This 268-nucleotide ribosomal RNA is filed under the name uncultured bacterium. RNAcentral describes it as "partial 16S ribosomal RNA". It matches the Rfam family "Bacterial small subunit ribosomal RNA", at positions 85 to 354 of the family's 1533-position model. The record is from RNAcentral.
CGUCCGGCGACCGGCGCACGGGUGAGUAACACGUAUGCAACCUGCCCUCUUCAGGGGGACAACCUUCCGAAAGGGAGGCUAAUCCCGCGUAUAUCGGUUUCGGGCAUCCGAGAUCGAGGAAAGAUUCAUCGGAAGAGGAUGGGCAUGCGGCGCAUUAGCUAGACGGCGGGGUAACGGCCCACCGUGGCGACGAUGCGUAGGGGUUCUGAGAGGAAGGCCCCCCACACUGGUACUGAGACACGGACCAGACUCCUACGGGAGGCAGCAG